This 565-nucleotide ribosomal RNA is filed under the name Trichoderma sp. PPRI 14672. RNAcentral's name for it is "eukaryotic LSU rRNA". The record is from RNAcentral. Lineage: Eukaryota; Fungi; Ascomycota; Sordariomycetes; Hypocreales; Hypocreaceae.
CUCCCAAACCCAAUGUGAACCAUACCAAACUGUUGCCUCGGCGGGGUCACGCCCCGGGUGCSUYKCAGCCCCGGAACCAGGCGCCCGCCGGAGGGACCAACCAAACUCUUUUCUGUAGUCCCCUCGCGGACGUUAUUUCUUACAGCUCUGAGCAAAAAUUCAAAAUGAAUCAAAACUUUCAACAACGGAUCUCUUGGUUCUGGCAUCGAUGAAGAACGCAGCGAAAUGCGAUAAGUAAUGUGAAUUGCAGAAUUCAGUGAAUCAUCGAAUCUUUGAACGCACAUUGCGCCCGCCAGUAUUCUGGCGGGCAUGCCUGUCCGAGCGUCAUUUCAACCCUCGAACCCCUCCGGGGGGUCGGCGUUGGGGAUCGGGAACCCCUAAGACGGGAUCCCGGCCCCGAAAUACAGUGGCGGUCUCGCCGCAGCCUCUCCUGCGCAGUAGUUUGCACAACUCGCACCGGGAGCGCGGCGCGUCCACGUCCGUAAAACACCCAACUUCUGAAAUGUUGACCUCGGAUCAGGUAGGAAUACCCGCUGAACUUAAGCAUAUCAAUAAGGCGGARGAA